GUCGUAGUACACAUUUGGGAUAACAUUGUAUCCUUUCCAGCAAAACUAAUAGGGGAGGGGAUUAGAACUGAAAAACAAUCUUCAUUGAGUGGCAAUAAUUCAUAUAUUGAAGCGUACAAUGACGGCUGUCUCGUCUAGGUGACAACAUUUGCUGUUUCAAGUUUAUUUAUAUCUCAUAAUGGUAUAAUAGUUGUAAUAACAGCAAAAAA
This 209-nucleotide long non-coding RNA is filed under the name Mytilus galloprovincialis (Mediterranean mussel). Lineage: Eukaryota; Metazoa; Mollusca; Bivalvia; Mytilida; Mytilidae. The record is from RNAcentral.